Molecule: non-coding RNA, 263 nt
Organism: Podarcis lilfordi (Lilford's wall lizard)
Lineage: Eukaryota; Metazoa; Chordata; Lepidosauria; Squamata; Lacertidae
Source: the annotation of a GenBank genome assembly
UGAUGUGAGGGUAAUCUGGUUGUGACAUCUGUCACCCCAUUGAUCGCUAGGGUUGAUUUGGCUGCUUUGGUUGGCUCGGCAGAUGUCCCCUUCCUCUUGGAUUCAAAAAUAGUUUUACAUUUGUUCUUUCUGCUGUUGCUGUUGUUGUUGUUGUGAACUAGCAACCUGACUUUCCUAAGGCUGAGUCAAGGCUGCAUACAACUCAAUGACAUACAAAUUUCACUGUUCUUUCUACUGUUCCAGAGACAUGUUCUGUUCCGGUA